This 464-nucleotide ribosomal RNA is filed under the name Fusarium chlamydosporum. RNAcentral describes it as "eukaryotic LSU rRNA". The stretch from base 111 to 264 matches the Rfam family "5.8S ribosomal RNA". The record is from RNAcentral. Lineage: Eukaryota; Fungi; Ascomycota; Sordariomycetes; Hypocreales; Nectriaceae.
ACGUUGCCUCGGCGGAUCAGCCCGCGCCCCGUAAAAAGGGACGGCCCGCCCGAGGACCCCUAAACUCUGUUUUUAGUGGAACUUCUGAGUAAAACAAACAAAUAAAUCAAAACUUUCAACAACGGAUCUCUUGGUUCUGGCAUCGAUGAAGAACGCAGCAAAAUGCGAUAAGUAAUGUGAAUUGCAGAAUUCAGUGAAUCAUCGAAUCUUUGAACGCACAUUGCGCCCGCCAGUAUUCUGGCGGGCAUGCCUGUUCGAGCGUCAUUUCAACCCUCAAGCUCAGCUUGGUGUUGGGACUCGCGGUAACCCGCGUUCCCCAAAUCGAUUGGCGGUCACGUCGAGCUUCCAUAGCGUAGUAAUCAUACACCUCGUUACUGGUAAUCGUCGCGGCCACGCCGUAAAACCCCAACUUCUGAAUGUUGACCUCGGAUCAGGUAGGAAUACCCGCUGAACUUAAGCAUAUC